Molecule: long non-coding RNA, 703 nt
Organism: Gallus gallus (chicken)
Lineage: Eukaryota; Metazoa; Chordata; Aves; Galliformes; Phasianidae
Source: Ensembl
CCCUAACUUCAUGCUGAAGCUCGUGAAUGUUGGAACAAGAGGCAGGAAUGGGUACUGGAAUGAUUCACAAGUGAUAAAGAUCCUGAAAGAAGGAGGCUGGAGGAAAGGAUGAGUAACAGAAAUAGCUUGCUUGUUUCCUCUUCAGAAAAGCAAGAGGAGCGAGGGAUGCUGAAACGAGAACAUACUUCUUUUUUCCCCUGUGGCUACUAGGAAGUUGACAGGAAAAGAAAGGCCUGCUCUUGUUCAGCAGCUAGAAAUGGGAGCUUCACCCUGAGCAGGUACUCACUGGCUAUAAAACGAACCAAGGAACUGUAUCUACAAGCACGGUCCCGCAGCCAUUUCCUUUCAGAAAGUCCCCAGAGCUGGUAGGAGCAAGGGACUGAGCUUCUCAGGAGGACGGUAAUAGUUUAUGACAGAAGUUGUCUUGCCUUCUGCAGGGUGAAGUGGUGAAUAUCGGCCUGUGCCGUGAGGGUCACCAGCCGACUGACUGAGCGUCUUAUCGUUAGAUGCAACACCCUGUGCCAAGGAGACUGGUGUUGCCACAGGGUUUAAAUAGCUGAGCUAAUAUUUAAACGUCUGUCCCCUCUGAUCUCUGCAAAAUGAGGAGAAGAGACUUUGUGACUGCACACAGACAGCUGCACAGUGCCCAGAGCACUCUGCAGGCCUCAGCGAACCUCCUCGCCUCACAGGUAGCGGUGCAACC